GACGAGCGCUGGCGGCGUGCUUAACACAUGCAAGUCGAACGGAAAGGCCCUACUUUUGUGUGGUUCUCGAGUGGCGAACGGGUGAGUAACACGUGAGUAACCUUCCCUUGACUGUGGGAUAACUUCAGGAAACUGGGGCUAAUACCGGAUAGGAGCUCCUGCUGCAUGGUGGUGGUUGGAAAAUGUCGGCGGUUGGGGAUGUACUCGCGGCUUAUCAGCUUGUUGGUGGGGUAGUGGCUUACCAAGGCUUUGACGGGUAGCCGGCAUGAGAGGGUGACCAGCCACAUUGGGACUGAGAUACGGAGCAGACUGCUACGGGAGGCAGUAGUGGGGAAUAUUGCACAAUGGGCGGAAGCGUGAUGCAGAAACGCCGCGUGCGGGAUGACGGCCUUCGGGUUGUAAACCGCUUUCGCAUGUGACGAAGCGUGAGUGACGGUAAUGGGUAAAGAAGCACCGGCUAACUACGUG
RNAcentral lists this ribosomal RNA (468 nucleotides) under uncultured bacterium. RNAcentral's name for it is "partial 16S ribosomal RNA". It matches the Rfam family "Bacterial small subunit ribosomal RNA", at positions 28 to 507 of the family's 1533-position model. The record is from RNAcentral.